CCACUGGAAACGAUGGCUAAUACCGCAUAACGUCUACGGACCAAAGAGGGGGACCUUCGGGCCUCUCGCUUCAGGAUAUGCCCAGGUGGGAUUAGCUAGUUGGUGAGGUAAUGGCUCACCAAGGCGACGAUCCCUAGCUGGUCUGAGAGGAUGAUCAGCCACACUGGAACUGAGACACGGUCCAGACUCCUACGGGAGGCAGCAGUGGGAAUAUUGCACAAUGGGCGCAAGCCUGAUGCAGCCAUGCCGCGUGUAUGAAGAAGGCCUUCGGGUUGUAAAGUACUUUCAGCAGUGAGGAAGGUUCAUGCGUUAAUAGCGUAUGGAUUUGACGUUAGCUGCAGAAGAAGCACCGGCUAACUCCGUGCCAGCAGCCGCGGUAAUACGGAGGGUGCGAGCGUUAAUCGGAAUUACUGGGCGUAAAGCGCAUGCAGGUGGUUUGUUAAGUCAGAUGUGAAAGCCCGGGGCUCAACCUCGGAACCGCAUUUGAAACUGGCAGGCUAGAGUACUGUAGAGGGGGGUAGAAUUUCAGGUGUAGCGGUGAAAUGCGUAGAGAUCUGAAGGAAUACCAGUGGCGAAGGCGGCCCCCUGGACAGAUACUAACACUCAGAUGCGAAAGCGUGGGGAGCAAACAGGAUUAGAUACCCUGGUAGUCCACGCCGUAAACGAUGUCUACUUGGAGGUUGUGGCCUUGAGCCGUGGCUUUCGGAGCUAACGCGUUAAGUAGACCGCCUGGGGAGUACGGUCGCAAGAUUAAAACUCAAAUGAAUUGACGGGGGCCCGCACAAGCGGUGGAGCAUGUGGUUUAAUUCAAUGCAACGCGAAGAACCUUACCUACUCUUGACAUCCAGAGAACUUUCCAGAGAUGGAUUGGUGCCUUCGGGAACUCUGAGACAGGUGCUGCAUGGCUGUCGUCAGCUCGUGUUGUGAAAUGUUGGGUUAAGUCCCGCAACGAGCGCAACCCUUAUCCUUGUUUGCCAGCGAGUAAUGUCGGGAACUCCAGGGAGACUGCCGGUGAUAAACCGGAGGAAGGUGGGGACGACGUCAAGUCAUCAUGGCCCUUACGAGUAGGGCUACACACGUGCUACAAUGGCGCAUACAGAGGGCGGCCAACCAGCGAUGGUGAGCGAAUCCCAAAAAGUGCGUCGUAGUCCGGAUUGGAGUCUGCAACUCGACUCCAUGAAGUCGGAAUCGCUAGUAAUCGUGAAUCAGAAUGUCACGGUGAAUACGUUCCCGGGCCUUGUACACACCGCCCGUCACACCAUGGGAGUGGGCUGCAAAAGAAGUGGGUAGUUUAACCUGUCGGGGAGGACGCUCACCACUC
RNAcentral lists this ribosomal RNA (1321 nucleotides) under metagenome. RNAcentral's name for it is "bacterial SSU rRNA". It matches the Rfam family "Bacterial small subunit ribosomal RNA", at positions 147 to 1462 of the family's 1533-position model. The record is from RNAcentral.